AUUCUGAGUGCGUCCUGGCGAGUCUCAGCCCCCAAGCGGGUGGAACGCACCAAGGGUCUCAUCCGCGAGGAAGGGCUUUAACGCUCAGGGUCAGGAACCUCUGAGAGCUCUUGGGGACUUGCGCGCCCUUGGAUGCUCUUGCGUUCAACAGGGCUAGGAGACUACCGGCUGGGGCGAGGAAUGCAGGCGCCUAGAGCCUUGGAGCUCCUGAAACGUUCCUGCCGCCUCCGGAAAGCAAGGGCAGUUUACCGAAGUGACUGAGGCCAAGUAUUUGCAGCACGGGCAGGGACCAGUAACUGAUUUUCAGGCCUUUUGAGAGGAAGAGGAAGAGAGAGGAAGAGAAGGAUUUCUAAUAGUAGAUAUUCACUCUCAUGGACUCUUUAGGAAACAGCAACAAAGACAAGAUUAAGAACACCAAAUUGUGUGACUAUCCACACAAAAAAGCAUCUUCAUAAGAACCAAAAAUCAGAAGGAAUGAAAUAGAAAGAAUAAAGCUGAAGGACAUUUCAUUUAUGUUCAACUAGAAAUCCAAUAUAGUUUUAGGCAAACUAUAUUUUCCCUUGCAACUGUACUCCCUUACAUACAUGUAAGUGGGAAAGAAUAAAUGUGACAAACAAAAUAUCACUCCUGAUUCCACAAUCUAAACAAAACACUGCCUCUUUCUAGGUUUUGUUUUUUGGUUUUUGUUUGUUUGUUUUUUGGCAUAGGGUUGGGGUGUAUGCUUCUUGACGUACCUACAUAAUGAGGAAUACAAGGCUUUGUAUCUUUUAUCAGUAAUUAUUCAUAGCUUAAUUGUGUAAAUUGUAAAAUAUCACACUUUUAUAAUCUUA
Molecule: long non-coding RNA, 830 nt
Filed under: Homo sapiens (human)
Lineage: Eukaryota; Metazoa; Chordata; Mammalia; Primates; Hominidae
Description: HSALNT0370143
Source: RNAcentral